This 454-nucleotide ribosomal RNA is filed under the name uncultured Allobrachymonas sp. Its description in RNAcentral is "bacterial SSU rRNA". It matches the Rfam family "Bacterial small subunit ribosomal RNA", at positions 923 to 1382 of the family's 1533-position model. Lineage: Bacteria; Pseudomonadati; Pseudomonadota; Betaproteobacteria; Burkholderiales; Comamonadaceae. The record is from RNAcentral.
GCACAAGCGGUGGAUGAUGUGGUUUAAUUCGAUGCAACGCGAAAACCUUACCCACCUUUGACAUGGCAGGAAUCCUGAAGAGAUUUGGGAGUGCUCGAAAGAGAACCUGCACACAGGUGCUGCAUGGCUGUCGUCAGCUCGUGUCGUGAGAUGUUGGGUUAAGUCCCGCAACGAGCGCAACCCUUGCCAUUAGUUGCUACGAAAGGGCACUCUAAUGGGACUGCCGGUGACAAACCGGAGGAAGGUGGGGAUGACGUCAAGUCCUCAUGGCCCUUAUAGGUGGGGCUACACACGUCAUACAAUGGCCGGUACAGAGGGUAGCCAACCCGCGAGGGGGAGCCAAUCCCACAAAGCCGGUCGUAGUCCGGAUUGUUCUCUGCAACUCGAGAGCAUGAAGUCGGAAUCGCUAGUAAUCGCAGGUCAGCAUACUGCGGUGAAUACGUUCCCGGGUCUU